This is a non-coding RNA of Collybia nuda, 104 nucleotides long. Lineage: Eukaryota; Fungi; Basidiomycota; Agaricomycetes; Agaricales; Clitocybaceae. The record is from the annotation of a GenBank genome assembly.
GCCCGCCUAGCUCAAUCGGAUAGAGCGUCAGACUCUUACGAGCGCGGGUGUUGUAGUAUCACCUUGUGAUCUGAAGGCUGCGAGUUCGACCCUCGCGGUGGGCU